UGGGCAACCUGCCCCAGACACUGGGAUAACUCCGGGAAACCGGGGCUAAUACCGGAUACUCUCAGCCGACCGCAUGACCGGCUGAGGAAAGCUCCGGCGGUCUGGGAUGGGCCCGCGGCCUAUCAGCUUGUUGGUGGGGUAACGGCCUACCAAGGGUACGAUCGGUAGCUGGUCUGAGAGGACGAUCAGCCACACUGGAACUGAGACACGGUCCAGACUCCGUACGGGAG
RNAcentral lists this ribosomal RNA (230 nucleotides) under uncultured bacterium. RNAcentral describes it as "partial 16S ribosomal RNA". It matches the Rfam family "Bacterial small subunit ribosomal RNA", at positions 118 to 347 of the family's 1533-position model. The record is from RNAcentral.